Molecule: ribosomal RNA, 236 nt
Filed under: Pseudomonas sp.
Lineage: Bacteria; Pseudomonadati; Pseudomonadota; Gammaproteobacteria; Pseudomonadales; Pseudomonadaceae
Description: partial 16S ribosomal RNA
Rfam family: Bacterial small subunit ribosomal RNA
Source: RNAcentral
CGUAAGCGCGCGUAGGUGGUUUGUUAAGUUGGAUGUGAAAGCCCCGGGCUCAACCUGGGAACUGCAUCCAAAACUGGCAAGCUAGAGUACGGUAGAGGGUGGUGGAAUUUCCUGUGUAGCGGUGAAAUGCGUAGAUAUAGGAAGGAACACCAGUGGCGAAGGCGACCACCUGGACUGAUACUGACACUGAGGUGCGAAAGCGUGGGGAGCAAACAGGAUUAGAAACCCUNGUAGUC